RNAcentral lists this long non-coding RNA (493 nucleotides) under Salmo salar (Atlantic salmon). Its description in RNAcentral is "lncRNA (ENSSSAG00000106341.1)". The record is from RNAcentral. Lineage: Eukaryota; Metazoa; Chordata; Actinopteri; Salmoniformes; Salmonidae.
CACACACUCUCUCUAUAAAUAUGAACUUGAUUGAACAAAACAUGCAUGUAUUGUAUAACAUAAUGUCCUAGGUGUGUCAUCUGAUGAAGAUCAUCAAAGGUUGCUGAGGCACUCUUCCAGCAGGUCUUCAGGCAUUAUGGCAAUCUGGAGGACAUCGUCUCCGGCUGUGGCCACCAAUUCACAUCACAAGUAUGGAGGGCCUUCAUGGAGAAGCUCGGCGUCACGGUCAGCCUCACUUCUGGGUAUCGACCUCAGUCCAACGGGCAGGUGGAGAGGAUGAACCAGGAGCUGGGGAGGAUCCUGAGGAGUCACUGUCUGGACCGGCAGGACCGGUGGUUCCUGGUCCCCUAGCUGAUUCUGUCCGCCACGACACUCCACCAACCCCCCGGACAUCGAGGGCAGUCCGGCAUAUGCUGUCAGAUCUCUGCCGGACUCCUGGUGUCGUGGGGUUCAACUCUAGUAUCUGGUAGACUGGGAUGUGUAUGGUCCUGAG